RNAcentral lists this ribosomal RNA (274 nucleotides) under uncultured bacterium. RNAcentral's name for it is "partial 16S ribosomal RNA". It matches the Rfam family "Bacterial small subunit ribosomal RNA", at positions 523 to 796 of the family's 1533-position model. The record is from RNAcentral.
AUACGGAGGGUGCAAGCGUUACUCGGAAUCACUGGGCGUAAAGCGCGCGCAGGCGGUCUUUUAAGUUGGAUGUGAAAGCCUACGGCUCAACCGUAGAACUGCAUCUAAAACUAUUAGACUAGAGUGUGGGAGAGGAAGAUGGAAUUAGUUGUGUAGGGGUAAAAUCCGUAGAGAUAACUAGGAAUACCAAAAGCGAAGGCAAUCUUCUGGAACACUACUGACGCUGAGGCGCGAAAGCGUGGGGAGCAAACAGGAUUAGAUACCCUAGUAGUCC